Molecule: non-coding RNA, 107 nt
Organism: Gossypium raimondii (Peruvian cotton)
Lineage: Eukaryota; Viridiplantae; Streptophyta; Magnoliopsida; Malvales; Malvaceae
Source: Rfam
AUCUCGUGGUGAGGGCAUUUACGUAGUAGCUCUUUGAAUCUUUUCCAUGCCUCGUAUAGGGACUCAUAAUCUAUUUGUUGGAAAGUGGUGGUUUCAUUCCACAACUU